AGAGUUUGAUCAUGGCUCAGAUUGAACGCUGGCGGCAUGCCUUACACAUGCAAGUCGAACGCGAAAGCGGGGCAACCCGCAAGUAGAGUGGCGAACGGGUGAGUAAUACAUCGGAACAUAUCCAGUAGCGGGGGAUAACCUGUCGAAAGAUAGGCUAAUACCGCAUACGAUCUACGGAUGAAAGCAGGGGACCGCAAGGCCUUGCACUAUUGGAGUGGCCGAUGUCAGAUUAGCUAGUUGGUGGGGUAAAAGCCUACCAAGGCGACGAUCUGUAGCUGGUCUGAGAGGACGAUCAGCCACACUGGAACUGAGACGCGGUCCAGACUCCUACGGGAGGCAGCAGUGGGGAAUUUUGGACAAUGGGCGCAAGCCUGAUCCAGCCAUGCCGCGUG
Molecule: ribosomal RNA, 392 nt
Filed under: uncultured beta proteobacterium
Lineage: Bacteria; Pseudomonadati; Pseudomonadota; Betaproteobacteria
Description: bacterial SSU rRNA
Rfam family: Bacterial small subunit ribosomal RNA
Source: RNAcentral